UCUCUAUCGCUCCUUCUGUCUCUCCCCCCGCCCCCUCCGCUCCACCCCAUAACUCUGUGAGAAGAGGGUGGACAUCUGGCUGACAGCUCUUUCUGUCUCUCCCCCUGCUCCCCUCUGCCACACCCCAUAAUUCUGUAAGAAGAGGGUGGACAUCUGGCUGACAGUUAGAUGCUCCUGAAGACACUGUGUCUCCUAACAGCAUGCGUGGAAUCCAGUGCUAACACUGCUUCCAGCUCCAGCUUCCUUCCCCUUGUGCUCCCUGGAAUGCAGCAAGAAGUGUCAAGAGGAAGGUCUCUCUUUGUCUGCCUGUCUCUUUCUUCCUGCUUUGCAGAUACUAAUAAACUAUAAAAAGAAGUUAAGUGAAAAUUCUAAGUCACAAACUGGAAACACUUGGGUCUGGCCUCAGCCAGAAACUUGAGUGCAAAUGAGUCUUCAUACCAAACCUCUGCUACCCGCCCCUGGCUUUUGAGCGAGAGAAAAGGGAAGCCAUGAAAGCGUGACAUUGGCCACACUGGCCACGCGGACCUAUCUGCAGGCUUUGAACUUGCCCUGCAGCUUCGCUGUCUCCCUGCUGUUUGCCCACCUGGAUCUGCCACUUGGACCUCCCAUUGAAGGAAACUGUCUCCAAGAUCCUCUGAGAAGACACCUCAGCAUCUCCACGUUCUACCCUGACAGGCAGCAGGUGAUGACUCAAGUCCUGGGGUCUCUGCUAUGAGAAACUAAGAUGGAGGUCCUGGCUCCCCAGUUUCAACCUAAUACAAGAUCAGCUGUUGUAGACCCUUAGGGAAUGAAUCAGCAGAUGGAAGAUAUCUGUGUGAGUGUGUUGCUCUGCCUUUCAAA
This is a long non-coding RNA of Ochotona curzoniae (black-lipped pika), 840 nucleotides long. RefSeq lists it as uncharacterized. NCBI's taxonomy places the organism in Eukaryota, Metazoa, Chordata, Mammalia, Lagomorpha, Ochotonidae. The record is from RefSeq and is a predicted model, not a curated record. The transcript has 3 exons.